ACAAAAUGACAAAAACAUGACACAAACAACUAAAGAAGACAAAAAACAACAAAAAAGACAAAAUAUUGCAAAAAUAAGGCACAAAAUGACAAAAUCGAGAAGUAAAAUGACAAAAAAUGAGACCAAUGACAAAACAAAACAAAAAAGAGACGUACAAAGUGACAAAAAGGUGAACAAGACAAAACAAAUUACACAAAUGACAAACGAAACAAAGAAAGAAAUAAUACGACAAAAAAUAGUCAAACUACACAAGCAAGACAAAACCACGAGAAAAACGACACAAAAUUGCAAAUAAAGCAAAACACAAAAUGGCAAAAAAACAACAAAAAACGCAAGCAAGACAAAAGGAGAAAUAUAAUGACAAAAACAUGAAACAAAUGACACAAAACAAAAAAUAAAAAUAAGACAAGAAAAAUGACAAAAAAAAUCACACAAAUGACAAACGAGACAAAAGAAGAAACAAAAUGACAAAAAAUGAGACAUGACAAAACAAAAAGACAAAAAUGUCAUUAAAAACUUACAAAGACAAAAAAAAUUACACAAAUGACAAACGAAACAAAGAAACAAAACGACAAAAAAGUCAAACUACACAAAAGACAAAAACGACACACAAAAUCGCAAAUAAAGCAAAAAGAAUUGGCAAAAAACAAAAAAAACGCAAGCAAGACAAAAAAGAAUAAAUAAAAUGACAAAAACAUGAGAAACGGCAAAAGUCAGUCAAAAAAAAACAAGAAAAACAAGACAAAAUGUUACAAAAAUGAGGCACAAAAGAACAAUGAGCAGUCUAGUAUUUUACUAUAUGAUCAAAACAACGUGUCAUGGUCUAGAAACUAUUUAAAAUUUAUAGUUUUAAAAUUCACAAUCUGCAGUUAAUGUCUUCUCUGUAAUUUUGUCCUCUGGAGGACCGCUUUUGGCCCCCGGGCUUCAUGUUUGACACCCCUGUCAUUGACAGUAGACUAAUUGGGAAGAUAGGAAACAUUCUAACAGGAGAUUUACAGCACAGAGUUUGUGUUUUUGCAGCUGAACCUCUGGUGGAUCUGAAGCACUGUUCCUACUGGUGUUGGUACAGAUGGAACCACAGCAGUAAUCAGUCACAUGCUUCAACAUAUCGACUAUCUAGACCAGGGGUGUCAAACAUGCGGCCCGCGGGCCAAAACCGGCCCUCCAGAGGGUCCAAUCUGGCCUGCAGGACGACUUUGUAAAGUGUCAAAGAGAAGACAUGAACUGUAAAAUACCAGAUUGCUCAUUGUUCUUUUGCCAUUUUUUGUCUCAUUUUUUGUAAUGUUUCAUCUUUUUUGUCUGACUUUUGUUGUUUCUCAUGUUUUGUGUUUCCUUUUUGUCUCACUAGUGAUUUUUGUCUUAUUUUUGUCAUUUUUUUGUUUAGUUUUAUUCAUUGUUUUAUGUAUGGUUUAUAUCAUUUUGUGCUUUUGUUGUCUCGCUUGUGUUGUUUGUCUACUUUUUUGUGGUUUUGUUUCUUGCUUUUGUCAUUUUUGGUCUCGUUUGUGUCAUUUGUGUAAUCUUUUGUCUAGUUUUUGUCGUUUGUCCUUUUUUUGUUGUUUUGUAAAUUUUUUGGUCUUAUUUUUUGUCGUUUUAAGUCUCGGUUUUGUCAUUUUGUGUCUCAUUUUUGUAAUGUUUUGACUUGUUUUUGUAGUUUUUUGUCUUUUUUUGUCUGAUUUUAGUCAUUUUGAUCAUAAAGUAAAAUACUAUAUGGUUCAGUCUCAGACAUCUGUGACUGAAAGUUUCAAGUCACUCUUAGUGUCUCAGCAGUAACAGUAAUAGUAAUAGCAGCAAUAGCACCAGUCUCAGGGCACCAUCCACAGAUGCUGAGAUAUGAACUCGCCGAACAAAUCUGAUUAAAGUUAGCGGAAAGGCUAAUUAGAAAAUGCUCGCGUUGGGGGUUUGAAGAGUCGCAAGAAUGCAGAAGAACCAGAGCAGGAGAAUUUAUGAGAGUAAGGUCAAUGGAGGGUACAGUGUGUUUUCUCCGUGUGUUUCACAGAAACCAUUCGAUAUCCAGAGAAGUGAACAGGCCCUGCUCUGAAUGUAACCGAACAAUGAAGUCACUACAACAAACGAGCAGCGGUUCAGCCAUCCGUCUUCAUCACAGAGUGCAGGAACCUCUUCAGCUAAUUCAGUUAGUUCAAGUCAUAUUUCAGAAGCUGUGGCAGGACGGUGAAAGGCUCUGCAGCAGUUGAGUGAAUGACCCUCAGAGCAUUGUGCUGAAGUGAUUUAUUCAACUCCAAAGCUAAAGCUUCUGCUAAACCUGCGCCAGCUCUGCUUCGUCAUCAGUUUGACUUCUGUCUGAUUUCAGUCACACUACAUCCACUCACAGCAUUUAACACCAUAAAAAAAACGUCUAAUCAGGUUUAGAAUACGCACCUUUAAGCGGUUUGUCAUCUAAAGGUGCAGGUUUUGUGUUAAUACCUACAGUGAGCUCUAUGAAAACAUUUAUUUAAGUCAGAUUCAUCAACAUGUUGAAGCUUCACCCUCUAUCUCUGUCUGUCUGUCCCUCGGCCACAAACGCAUCGAUACGAACAUUAAUACCAUCUGUCCCCUUCAUCCUCGCCGAGGGAUUUGAAAGUGCUGAGUGUGGUCUAAUCCACAGCCCUCAUCUUAGCGAGCGACGCGCCGCACAACCAACCUGGCAUUCACCGCCUCCACACUACCUGCUGCUGUGGUCAAUUUAAUGUAAAGUCAUACGGAGUCAUUGUGAGAAUCCCAAUCCUCUGUGUGUCUUCGUCUCAUCUAAAAGACUAAUCGUCAUCGAGACUUACAGGAGUUCAAUCUAAAGCACCAAACUGCUCUAAAAUGGCUGAAACUGAUGGACCAGAGGGCGGCCGAGACCUGGAGGCUCCAGAGGACAACGAGCUGGACGACGAGUACAGAGCCUUGCUUCAUUUCGCCAAAUACAGCGAAGCUCGUCAUGCACGGCCUCGGGAGCAGUGGACCUCCAGGGAAAAGGCAAACUACUACAUAGACCGCUUCUUCCUGGGGUUUUUGGUCGUUUUUUUUCUCGUGCUGCUGGGAGAAUGUUGCUAUAAAAUGUGGUAUGUGACAAACGUGAAGAAGAUCGCGGAGUUUGUGUCGGAUUCUGUGGUGCUUUUGUUCGACUGGCUCCUCAAACAGGAGAGACACGAGGAGCUGGCCGAGCUGUAGGCCGUCCAAGAAGAUGAUUUCAUUGCUGGGUCGCCACUUUUUCGGAGGUUUUCUAUCACAUUCAAAGCACACGUGGUAUCACAACUCCUCAGUAAAUAAUCCAUUUGUAGCUGCAGCUUAACUAGAGGAAAUGGCUGGACGUCUUCCAUACUCCAUUUCUGUUUGUGUCUUGAUGGAAAUAAAUGCAAUAAUAUGCAA
Long non-coding RNA from Acanthochromis polyacanthus (spiny chromis), 3351 nucleotides. RefSeq lists it as uncharacterized. NCBI's taxonomy places the organism in Eukaryota, Metazoa, Chordata, Actinopteri, Pomacentridae. The record is from RefSeq and is a predicted model, not a curated record. The transcript is spliced from 2 exons.